CCCUUAGAUGUCCGGGGCUGCACGCGCGCUACACUGAAGGAAUCAGCGUGCUAAAACCAUUGUCGAAAGGCAUUGGUAAACCCAUUAAAAUCCUACGUGAUUGGGAUCGGGAAUUGCAAUUAUUUCCCUUGAACGAGGAAUUCCCAGUAAGUGUGGGUCAUAAGCUCGCGUUGAUUGCGUCCCUGCCCUUUGUACACACCGCCCGUCGCUGCCCGGGACUGAGCCGUUUCGAGAAAAGCGGGGACUGCUGCUGUCGGGGCUUUCGGGCCUUGGCUUCGGUGGAAACCGCUUUAAUCGCAGUGGCUUGAACCGGGCAAAAGUCGUAACA
This 328-nucleotide ribosomal RNA is filed under the name uncultured eukaryote. RNAcentral describes it as "partial 18S ribosomal RNA". It matches the Rfam family "Eukaryotic small subunit ribosomal RNA", at positions 1470 to 1796 of the family's 1831-position model. The record is from RNAcentral.